Molecule: long non-coding RNA, 416 nt
Filed under: Equus caballus (horse)
Lineage: Eukaryota; Metazoa; Chordata; Mammalia; Perissodactyla; Equidae
Description: lncRNA (ENSECAG00000058139.1)
Source: RNAcentral
AAGCUGUGUGCCCCUCUCUUUCCCCACCCAUCCACUGAAUGCAUAGGACACUGAGGUCCUUAGAGGCUCCUAGAGCCACAAGCUAGAAGGAGCCUUGGUCACCACGGAGAAGAGCCACCUGCGAACCAGGAACACCUGCGUUGGACUGUUACCAGCGUGAACAUUGAUAUUAGGCUAAGCCACUUAAAUGGGUCUGUUUCCAGAACUCCCUCCAGAUUCACCAUUGCUGAUCCUGAGCCCUCCUGUCAUCCAGGGCCGUGACUGUGUCUGAACAGCCAGGAAGGUGCCUCAGGACUAAGGAGCAGGGUUACCAGGUGCCUGGAUGUCAUCAAGAAGCCCAGUACCUGCAGACAUCACCUUCCAAGAACCGAGGACUGUCCGUUUUCGAGUGUGAACGCCAUCUGAUUAGAAAUGAG